GGGUUUGAAUGAUCUCUUUAUAAAAAGAAAAGUGAGACGGCUUCUCAGCUGCUUCUGUUGGUAUCUCCCCAGUUGACUCAUAAUGAAGGGUGAUCUCUCUUUAGUGCCGGUGCUUGUGUUCUUGGCUAACUAUCAAAAAAAUAGGGCCAUAGCGUGGACCAAAAAGAAAGCACAGAUACAAAUAUUUUGGCCCAAAAUAUAUCAAGCAUCCCAUUAGCUUCCUUUUAAGUUCAAAUUAGAUUAGAAUUAAAAUUAAAUCUGAUCUUUUAAUGAUUAAGAAGAUGUGAUUAUAUACUUUCAUUUUUUAUUAUUUCAGUUUUGUGUCUUAGUUGGACUGAAAUUAGUAGCUUUAGGG
This 355-nucleotide long non-coding RNA is filed under the name Elaeis guineensis (African oil palm). Its description in RNAcentral is "long non-coding RNA (EGUI_LNC076507)". Lineage: Eukaryota; Viridiplantae; Streptophyta; Magnoliopsida; Arecales; Arecaceae. The record is from RNAcentral.